AUACGGAGGGUCCGAGCGUUAUCCGGAAUCAUUGGGUUUAAAGGGUCCGUAGGCGGGAAUCUAAGUCAGUGGUGAAAUCUUGCAGCUCAACUGUAAAAUUGCCAUUGAUACUGGAUUUCUUGAAUUAGUGUGAAGUGGUUGGAAUGUGUAGUGUAGCGGUGAAAUGCAUAGAUAUUACACAGAAUACCAAUUGCGAAGGCAGAUCACUAACACUAUAUUGACGCUGAGGGACGAAAGCGUGGGGAGCGAACAGGAUUAGAUACCCUAGUAGUCC
RNAcentral lists this ribosomal RNA (274 nucleotides) under uncultured bacterium. RNAcentral's name for it is "partial 16S ribosomal RNA". It matches the Rfam family "Bacterial small subunit ribosomal RNA", at positions 523 to 796 of the family's 1533-position model. The record is from RNAcentral.